Brassica rapa (field mustard) is the source of this 195-nucleotide non-coding RNA. The record is from RefSeq and is marked provisional. NCBI's taxonomy places the organism in Eukaryota, Viridiplantae, Streptophyta, Magnoliopsida, Brassicales, Brassicaceae.
UAAUGAUGUAUUGUAGCUCUGCGUUUCUUGUUCGUUCACUCUUUUGUCAGGUAUUAACAAGAUAAAUCCCAAGCAUCAUCCACCUUAUUAGCCCUUGAACAUGAAGGCUUGUAAAAUGGAUGAUGCUUGGGAUUUAUUUUGUACUCUCCUCUUCUAAAAGAGUGUUGCCUCCAUAGGACUACCAAUGAUUUCAGA